This 497-nucleotide ribosomal RNA is filed under the name uncultured bacterium. RNAcentral describes it as "partial 16S ribosomal RNA". It matches the Rfam family "Bacterial small subunit ribosomal RNA", at positions 28 to 507 of the family's 1533-position model. The record is from RNAcentral.
GAUGAACGCUGGCGGCGUGCCUAAUACAUGCAAGUCGAGCGAACAGACGAGGAGCUUGCUCCUCUGACGUUAGCGGCGGACGGGUGAGUAACACGUGGAUAACCUACCUAUAAGACUGGGAUAACUUCGGGAAACCGGAGCUAAUACCGGAUAAUAUAUUGAACCGCAUGGUUCAAUAGUGAAAGACGGCUUUGCUGUCACUUAUAGAUGGAUCCGCGCCGCAUUAGCUAGUUGGUAAGGUAACGGCUUACCAAGGCAACGAUGCGUAGCCGACCUGAGAGGGUGAUAGGCCACACUGGAACUGAGACACGGUCCAGACUCCUACGGGAGGCAGCAGUAGGGAAUCUUCCGCAAUGGGCGAAAGCCUGACGGAGCAACGCCGCGUGAGUGAUGAAGGUCUUUGGAUCGUAAAACUCUGUUAUUAGGGAAGAACAAAUGUGUAAGUAACUAUGCACGUCUUGACGGUACCUAAUCAGAAAGCCACGGCUAACUACGUG